Molecule: ribosomal RNA, 464 nt
Filed under: uncultured bacterium
Lineage: Bacteria
Description: partial 16S ribosomal RNA
Rfam family: Bacterial small subunit ribosomal RNA
Source: RNAcentral
GACGAACGCUGGCGGCGUGCUUAACACAUGCAAGUCGAACGAUGACGCCAGCUUGCUGGUGGCUUAGUGGCGCACGGGUGCGUAACACGUGGGUGAUCUUCCCCAUACUUUUGGAUAAGCCUGGUAAACUGGGUCUACUACCGAAUAUGACCGAUACUCGCAUGGGUGUUGGUGGAAAGCUCCGGCGGUUUGGGAUGGGCGCGCGGCCUAUCAGCUUGUUGGUGGGGUAAUGGCCUACCAAGGCGCCGACGGGUAGCCGGCAUGAGAGGGGGACCGGCCACAAUAGGACUGAGAGACGGCCCAGACUCCUACGGGAGGCAGCAGUGGGGAAUAUUGCACAAUGGGCGCAAGCCUGAUGCAGCGACGCCGCGUGAGGGAUGACGGCCUUCGGGUUGUAAACCUCUUUCGCCAGGGACGAAGCGAAAGUGACGGUACCUGGAGAAGAAGCACCGGCCAACUACGUG